This 75-nucleotide transfer RNA is filed under the name Schistosoma margrebowiei. It matches the Rfam family "tRNA". From Rfam's summary of the family: Transfer RNA (tRNA) molecules are approximately 80 nucleotides in length. The record is from Rfam by way of RNAcentral. Lineage: Eukaryota; Metazoa; Platyhelminthes; Trematoda; Strigeidida; Schistosomatidae.
GGUUUUGGAGAUUGUUGUGGUCAGAUCACUGGUCUUGUAAACCAGGGGUCGGGAGUUCGAUCCUCCCUGGGGGCA